GGCCGUUGGUGCGGGGCAGUAGUUUGUUGAGUGUAAAUCCCGGGCCUCUAGAUGAAAAUAACACCGCAGAAAUUAGCUGAGCACAAUUAGCUGCAGGUCAGCACAACGCGGCUUUCUUGUCUGAUUUCUGUGUAUUGAUUUUUCUAUCUCUGCAAUCAUCACUGGAGUACAACAAACUUUCUAUUCCUGCGCAUUCGGCAUAUAGCUCUCUGAAUUAUGUAGCUGGAGAGGACUUGCACUCUCGUAAAAGUGAAUUUAACGUUUGACAAGCUCAUUUUUUAUGGUUCUGUUUUUCUCCCGAAUUUCUGCUGUCAUCCAAACUAAUUCCCGGCGGUGAUUGAGGAGGUGGGGUCCGAUGCGCUCGUUUGGAAGUACCCAGCAAAGAUCUCAUCAAACACACGGCAGAGCAGCAC
Non-coding RNA from Pelobates cultripes (western spadefoot toad), 413 nucleotides. The record is from the annotation of a GenBank genome assembly. Lineage: Eukaryota; Metazoa; Chordata; Amphibia; Anura; Pelobatidae.